Molecule: transfer RNA, 72 nt
Filed under: Camelus bactrianus (Bactrian camel)
Lineage: Eukaryota; Metazoa; Chordata; Mammalia; Artiodactyla; Camelidae
Also listed under: 2 other names
Rfam family: tRNA
About the family: Transfer RNA (tRNA) molecules are approximately 80 nucleotides in length. Their secondary structure includes four short double-helical elements and three loops (D, anti-codon, and T loops). Further hydrogen bonds mediate the characteristic L-shaped molecular structure. tRNAs have two regions of fundamental functional importance: the anti-codon, which is responsible for specific mRNA codon recognition, and the 3' end, to which the tRNAs corresponding amino acid is attached (by aminoacyl-tRNA synthetases). tRNAs cope with the degeneracy of the genetic code in two manners: having more than one tRNA (with a specific anti-codon) for a particular amino acid; and 'wobble' base-pairing, i.e. permitting non-standard base-pairing at the 3rd anti-codon position.
Source: Rfam by way of RNAcentral
AAGGAUAUAGCUCAAGUGGUAGAGCGCAUGCUUAGCAUGCACAAGGUCCUGGGUUCAAUCCCAGUAUCUCCU